AAACCAAACCCUACAAACAAGUUAUUUUUUUUGACAAAAAUCCUGCAAACUUGUUUUUCACUUCUCUCUCGGUCUCAAAAUCAGUGACCACGCACAAACAAAACAACCACUCAAACCUCCCUUCUUCCUUAGUUCCGGCCGUUCCUCAGCUUCCACCCGUCGUCGUCGUCGUUUCACCUUAAAGCCUUGUCACCGCCCUACUUCCCCGCCCCGUUCACCCCUCUGUCACACACUGUCGCAAUACUCCUUUUUCUUGUUCCUAGCCAUUGUGCCGUUUGUGCAAUUCUCACACUACUUAUAGCUAACUCAAACUGAACUAACUCUUCUGAAUCCUAAACAAAGCUUUUGCUUCUUCUUCUGGUGCUUCUUAGUUUCCUUCUUAACACAAGAUGACUCAUCCCAAAGCAAAAACCAAAUCAAAGAAAAAGACUGGCGUUGUCGACUUUAAGAAAAGAAAGGUCAAGAUUGGGAGGAAACUACCACCGCCUAAGAAUUCAACAAAUACCGAAGUUAAAUCUAAAGCAAUUAUUCUGCCGGAGCAGAGUGUAGCGGCAGAUAAGGCAGGUUUAGCUGUAAACAAGAAAGGUUUGACUUUAAAAGAACUUCUUCAGCAAACAUCUCAUCACAAUGCAAAAGUUCGAAGAGAUGCACUGAUGGGUAUUAAGGAUCUAUUCAGCAAACAUCCAGAAGAACUGACGUUGCACAAGUAUCGUGUUGUGGAAAAACUUCGUGAACGCAUUGGUGAUGAGGAUAAAGUGGUUCGGAAAUCAUUACAUGAUCUUUUUAAACUAGCGAUUUUUCCUGGUUGUAAACAGGAUAAUCAAGAGCUGAUCACUUCUUUAAUGAUGGCUUACAUAUUUAAUGCAAUGACACAUUUGGCAGUUGAUAUUCGGAUCACGGCAUUUGAUUUCUUAGACCUGACUCUUGAGUUUUAUCCUCCUUCAUUUUCUUCUUAUGCAGAAAAGAUUUUUCAGAAUUAUGAGGAUAUCCUAAGGAAGAACCAGUACCAUUUACAGGACAAAGAAAAGCUAAAGGAUGCUUUGGCCGGAUUAGUUCGCUGCCUGUCACUCUUGCCAUGGAAUAUAGAAGAAACUGAUUUGCAAAAUAAGGAUGAUAUUGGACAAAGGGUAUUGCAUGCUUUUGAAGCUGAUACCUCUAUGAGCUCUACUGGUUUUUCUCAUAUCAUAAUGAAACUGAAGGAUAUAGUGCUAGUAUUAGUAAAUAGUUUUCAGGAAUUUAUUGCAUUGUUUAAUGCUAGAGAUAAUCUCGAAGGGAAGUCCUUUGGUUGUAUGUCAUCCAUCCUUCAAAGCAUAGAUCUUAUAGUCAGGUCCUUUGUUUAUGGGCUUGAUAAUAAGUUGGAAUGCACAAGUUCUCAAGGUGGAGCCAAUGUGCCUGUAUGGGAUGUAUCAGUCUCUUCUGCAUUCUUGAAGAAAUUAUUUCCUCUUUUUCCCUUUCAUCAAGAUGGUCUUCCACAAAAGGAUUAUGAUAGGUUGCUUGACUUGAACAUGGUCAUGGCAAAAAUAUUUUUUGAAUUAAAUGAAUGGAUCUGCCUUCCUCCUUUUUUGUUGGAAAAAUUUCUAGAAUUUCUUGAGAAUGCACUGCUUGGGAAGUUCGGCACAGCUGCAAAGUCUGGUAAGGCUGUCUGGGAAAAACAUCUAGUUCAGCUCCUUCCUUUUAUUCCAAAAUUUAUUUCACGUGGAGCAAGCGAUUGGACGUCUCGGCUUCUUUGGGCAUUUACCCAGACAUUCAAGGGAAGUAAGCCAGGCUCCUUAUUGAAAUUGGCCUGUCUCUCUGCAAUUGAAGAUAUGCUAACUCCUAUUCAGAGCAUGCUUUCCCCGGAGACAAACAAUCCAGGAAAUGUAGACCUUCAAGAAGCUUUAUGUGCAUGGAUCGAAGAGCUUCCUAUGUUGCUUAUCCAGCUUGGUGAUAAACACCCAGCCUCCUCCUUGGCUUCAGUAAGGCUUCAACUUCGUAUUGGACAGCGUGCUUUGUUGAACUCAGCACUUGUUUGCGUGUAUGACAGCAUGCAAAACUCAUUGCAAGAUUUUUAUUCUACUUGUCAAGGAGAAAAUAUAUGCUAUGGUCCUUUUGUCAGACUUCCUAGAGAAUCUCAAGAGCUUUCUUUAUGUUGCCUUUACUAUUUCUCUCAUUUAGACCUACCUUUUCUAAAGUCAAUAGCUGGCUGUUGCCUAAGUCCUGAUCUAGAUCCCUAUGUGUUAUUUCGCACCAUAGAGAUUCUUCAGUCAGCCUAUAAAGAUGGACAUAUAAAUAUUGCAGAUUACCUGAGUGUCUUCAUCACCUUAGUCUUGCGUUUCAAAGUUUCUUCUGUUGCUGGUUUGGAGGGUGAGGCACGAUGUAAAACUUUGAAGUCAAUGACAACGGUUUUUUGCUCAUACAUGGAACAGAUUGGCAACAGUUCUCUUGUUCUACAGAUUAUAGAGAAAGUGGUAGUUGAUCAAAUAAUGCUAAAGCCUUCUUUGGACAAUAGUUGUUCUCUCCUAAGAAUGCUUGUUACGGUUGAUUCUAAGCCCACAAGACUUUCUGACCAAAGCAUUAUCACUCUAGGCCCUUGUCUUUCUGAAUAUCUAAUGGAUGCUGUGCAGCGCAUUCCAGAAGAUGGUGAGGAGCAGAGCAUUACCUCCAAUCAUUUAAGUCCCAUUUAUUAUCUCCUACCUUGUUUUUUCUUGUUUGAUCGGUGCCAUCAACUUAUGGGUUAUGUAUUGAAGACAAUGGGAUCAGCUAUAACUGAAAGUAGUUUCUCACUUGAAAAUGAUAAUGGCACUCAACAUACGAGGAACUGCUUGACUAGGGUAAACACUGUUGCAUCUGUACUUGUGUUGAUGCACAAGGAUGCAAAAUUGCAACAAAUUAUGUCCGAAUUCAAGGAAGAUAUUGAUAACAUCAUACAAAAAGUUAUUUCCUUACAGACUUCAAAGCAAAUUAGUCCGACAAUUGAAGAAAGGCAUAAAAUAAAAUGUGCAUUUGAGCGACUGAAUGUUUUAACACGAUAACAAUGAUCAAGAAGGGUAUUUUUUAGUGAGAAACUUGUGCACACAUUGUGGGCAUUGUUCCUCUAUUAUCAUAUAUUCACAGGCAGACUUGAACUGAGCCAAAAUGCUACUCAGUUUCUGAACUGGUUGAUAUGGUGGAACUUGGAAACUUAGGUUACUUUCUUUUCCCAAGGUUAUUCUGCAUGCAGUUCUGAUGUCUUGCUAGCAGGCGGUUUGUUAAGACGCCGUCGAUUGUCAGUAACAUGUAUAGUUCCAUCAGUUAGCCUCUUGUGAAUCACAUUAGUACUGUGAUAGUGCCACCUCGUCCUCAGUAUUUAUUGUACACUUGAAGAAUUAAAAUGACUAACGCGUUAUAUUUACUGCCCAUAUUUUUUUACUGUAAUUUACUGCCCAUAGUUAAGUAAUAGGGAUGUUUUAUUUUGGAUACUUAUUUGUUCAAGGUUUGAUUAAUAAUUUGUCACACUUUUUGUUUUAAGUUAAGUUGGACAAUUUUGAAGCUCUA
RNA transcript from Trifolium pratense (red clover), 3513 nucleotides. RefSeq lists it as uncharacterized. NCBI's taxonomy places the organism in Eukaryota, Viridiplantae, Streptophyta, Magnoliopsida, Fabales, Fabaceae. The transcript is spliced from 21 exons. The record is from RefSeq and is a predicted model, not a curated record.